RNAcentral lists this ribosomal RNA (580 nucleotides) under uncultured cyanobacterium. RNAcentral's name for it is "bacterial SSU rRNA". It matches the Rfam family "Bacterial small subunit ribosomal RNA", at positions 338 to 916 of the family's 1533-position model. The record is from RNAcentral. Lineage: Bacteria; Bacillati; Cyanobacteriota.
CCUACGGGAGGCAGCAGUGAGGAAUUUUUCGCAAUGGGCGCAAGCCUGACGGAGCAAUACUGCGUGGAGGAUGAAGGCUCGUGGGCUGUAAACUCCUUUUCCAUGAGAAGAAGUUCUGACGGUAUCAUGGGAAUAAGCAUCAGCUAACUGCGUGCCAGCAGCUGCGGUAAUACGUGGGAUGCAAGCGUUAUCCGGAUUUAUUGGGCGUAAAGCGUCUGUAGGUGGUUUCGCAAGUUUGUUGUUAAAUCGUUCAGCUUCACUGAAUACAAGCAGCAAAAACUAUGAAACUUGAGUGUGGUAGAGGAAAAGGGAAUUCCCUGUGGAGCGGUGAAAUGCGUAGAGAUAGGGAAGAACACCAAAGGCGAAAGCACUUUUCUGGGCCUGCACUGACACUGAGAGACGAAAGCUAGGGGAGCGAGUAGGAUUAGAUACCCUAUUAGUCCUAGCCGUAAACGAUGGAAACUACAUUUUGGGGCUCUGGUCGAGCAUCGCUCAUCUACUCUUCAGAAUGGCAGCUAACGCGUGAAGUUUCCCGCCUGGGAAGUAUGCUCGCAAGAGUGAAACUCAAAGGAAUUGACGG